AUUAUCUGAUUACCCGGUUAUGACACGUACGGGUCAGAUACAAGCGUCCAGUAGACUAGGGAUAUCGAGGUCAACACGGUGGCGGUUGGGGAAAGACAUAGGCGAGUGUGCGGUCAGGGUCAAAAUUGCGAGAGGGUGAUUCGAAGUGAAAUACCGCAACAAAAUUUGGACAUCAACGCGUCUAACUAAAUGAGUCACAAUGUUUCUACCACAAGAGUUGUAAAUAUUGAACAGAUAGGGCUUCAUCUUCAAGAUGAAAACUGCAAAAAAUGGCCACCAACAAUAAUGGGCCAGGACUGAGGAGUUCCAAGAAAUGA
This is a long non-coding RNA of Mya arenaria, 317 nucleotides long. RefSeq lists it as uncharacterized. The transcript is spliced from 3 exons. The record is from RefSeq and is a predicted model, not a curated record. NCBI's taxonomy places the organism in Eukaryota, Metazoa, Mollusca, Bivalvia, Myida, Myidae.